Perognathus longimembris pacificus (Pacific pocket mouse) is the source of this 653-nucleotide long non-coding RNA. RefSeq lists it as uncharacterized. The record is from RefSeq and is a predicted model, not a curated record. The transcript is spliced from 6 exons. NCBI's taxonomy places the organism in Eukaryota, Metazoa, Chordata, Mammalia, Rodentia, Heteromyidae.
CCAGCAUGACUCAGCAAACCCCCAGCCCGCGCUUCCCGGGCCUGCUCUUCCGAAAUCUCGGGAGAUCCAGUGCGGCGGGCAUUGGAAGCGGAAGCCUGGAAGCAGCCGAGGAGAGAAGUCUGUGUUGGGGAACGGAGGGGGGUUGUGGGAGACUAGUCCGGCUUUUGGAGAGAUGAGGAUGAUCCUUCUCUGGUGAAGAGAUGGAGGGAUAGAAAGCACCAGCAGAGAAGACCUCAGCCAAGAAGCAGAACACAAGUGUCCUCAGCUUCAAGUCCUCUCUCAAGGCUUCCAAGUUGGAGAUUGUUGUUGCUGCCGGGAGGAACCCCCACCUGUGAGGUCAAGAUCGUCAUCAAGUAAUCCAGACUAUUAUGGCAGAAGAAUUCGUCUCUGGCCACCCAACAGUGGGGACCCUGAACAAGAGCCAAGCGAAGAUUCUGUGAAGGUCAUCAUGGAGAUAGUGCCAUGUGAUUACUCAGAAGAGGAAGACCAAGCUGCUGAUGAGGUGGACACCACAGCCCAUGAAAAUCGUAUGUAUUCUCAACUCACUCACAGGCUUAGACAACAUUUAAGUACUGAGAAAGUUUGGACUUCUUUGCCUAUUUUUGUUCAGCAAUCUGCACUGAUUCCAACUUUGUGGGAGAUUAAAGAGGAAU